This 256-nucleotide ribosomal RNA is filed under the name uncultured bacterium. RNAcentral describes it as "partial 16S ribosomal RNA". It matches the Rfam family "Bacterial small subunit ribosomal RNA", at positions 524 to 777 of the family's 1533-position model. The record is from RNAcentral.
UACGGAAGGGGGCUAGCGUUGUUCGGAGUUACUGGGCGUAAAGGGCGCGUAGGCGGCGCACCAAGUCAGGCGUGAAAGCCCUGGGCUCAACCCGGGAAUUGCGCUUGAGACUGGUGUGCUUGAGUACGGGAGAGGAUAGUGGAAUUCCCAGUGUAGAGGUGAAAUUCGUAGAUAUUGGGAAGAACACCGGUGGCGAAGGCGGCUAUCUGGACCGUAGCGUGACGCUGAGGCGCGAAAGCGUGGGGAGCAAACAGGG